This 30-nucleotide non-coding RNA is filed under the name Mus musculus (house mouse). Lineage: Eukaryota; Metazoa; Chordata; Mammalia; Rodentia; Muridae. The record is from RNAcentral.
UUAUUGUAUGUGCAUUUUCCCUCUUUAAAA